CCCGCCCGGAUUCCGAAGCCCGGAGCCGUUUACAGUUUGAGGCGCCGUGUGCCGCCCCCUGGUGGCCGGAGGCCGUUACUGUCGCGGCUGAGGGGGCGUCCCGGUGUAUCCGCAGCGCGCCCUGGCCGCCCUCUGGUGGCCGGAGGCCGUUACUGUCGCGGCUGAGGGGGCGUCCCGGUGUAUCCGCAGCGCGCCCUGGCCGCCCCCUGGUGGCCGGAGGCCGUUACUGUCGCGGCUGAGGGGGCGUCCCGGUGUAUCCGCAGCGCGCCCUGGCCGACCCCUGGUGGCCGGAGGCCGUUACUGUCGCGGCUGAAGGGGCGUGUCCCGGUGUAUCCGCAGCGCGCCCUGGCUGCCCCCUGGUGGCCGGAGGCCGUUACUGUCGCGGCUGAGGGGGCGUCCCGGUGUAUCCGCAGCGCGCCCUGUCCCGCCAUAUACAUUCCGUGCUUUUCAAACACCCGCCGUGGGCUAAGCAUGGGACCCACGUGGGGCGGGGACACACGGCGAUAAAGAGCCAGGCCCUCGCUGCCAAGGAGCUUUCCCGUAACACCGAUGCAUCAAACAAAAGUUGAUAGGCCACUGAGCUAUGGGCAGCCACAUGUGUUCCUGAUGGAAGGGACUGAGUAUCUCCCAGAGAUCCUGGACACGAGGAGACAUGCUGUGAGUGGAUGUCUGGAAGCCAGUCCUGAGAGAGAAGACUCUAAAUCCAGAAUUUCUUCAGGCAUUUCAAACAUUUCUAUGUUGUGUGCAUUAUAUAAACAACACCUAUAUAACUUGUCUUAAGAAAAUAAAAGCAACAAGAUUAACUGAUCCCUUGGAGUGCAUAUUGGGCCAUGGGCAAUGUUCACGGGCUCCCUUCAAACUCUAGAAACACAGAGGAUACAACUUUUACAUUUUAACACACAAACCUCAGGGGCUCCAUCUCAAUCUAUAAUCACUCUUGGGAAAGGGGUGAAUUUGGUCACACUGUUUUGUGCUUCUAAAGUUUUAGAUUUUUUUCAUUUUUCUCAUGCAAUAUUUUAAGAUAAAAUAUCUUUACUCUUACUUUUUCUCCUUUGAGGGAC
Molecule: long non-coding RNA, 1061 nt
Filed under: Homo sapiens (human)
Lineage: Eukaryota; Metazoa; Chordata; Mammalia; Primates; Hominidae
Description: HSALNT0305282
Source: RNAcentral